CAAAGCACGAAAAUAAAAAAAAUAAGUAUAUAUAUAUAUAUAUAUAUAUACAUACAUAUAUAUAUGUAUGUAUUCACACGAUUAUUCCCAUAUUUAUAUAUGUAUUUUAUGCAUGUCUAUAUAAAUGUUCAGGUGUCUUGGAAAUUCUCUUCGGAUUAAUCACCUUUAACAACUCUUUGCCUCGCCUCGCCUUUCUUCGGUUUUAUCAUUACCUCACCAAUGUGGGAAACUAUUCAGCGCCAAUUAACCAUAAUUGUGAUGUAAUGGUCAGCAACAGGAAAUGACGUCACUGGGAUGGAAGCUGUUUCUCUUAAUGAUGGUGUUCUCCAACAGUUGCCAUGGUCUACCCCCAGAGUGUAACCGGCAAUACAUCUUUGGAGACAUGCGAUGUGACUGGUGGAUAGGAGGCCCUCGGGACGCCUGGAUGUACGAUAAAUCUUCUCGCACCUGUCGACAAAUCCCUUUUCACACUUGUCCCUUGUAUGAAAAUCGAAUUGCAGAGGUUACCUUCAUUUCUCUCUCCCGUUGCGAAAAAAAGUGUAUCAAAUGCGAUACAAAAGUGAUCUACGCUGACAUGCGGUGCGACUCAUUCGAAGGCAAAUUCAGACAGAUAUGGUUUUAUGAUAACCGACGCAACGUAUGCCGUACUACAAUGUUUUACACCUGUUCUAAAUACUUACACAGAGUUGCAGACGUCGCGUUCAUUCGUAAAAUAGACUGUGAAAAUUACUGCCAACGAGGUUCAUUCAUGCCUUUGGUGAACAAAGAACUCUUUGCAGUUCGGAUUCACUUCUACAUAACCAUGCUGAAAAUUAUACUGGACACUACGGAAGUCAGCAUAUCUACCGGAAGUAUUGAGGAGACGGCACCCAUUACAGCUCGCUGCCAACCGUUGGUGUUUCAUCCCUGUAUAUCUUUAGGUUAUUCUCAGACAUUUUUCCCAAAUCUGUUUGGUGACGAUAACCAGACUGCUGCUCGGCAACGCUUUCGAACCGUAGUUGAACCUUUACUGGAUCGAAGAUGUUCCAAACAACUGUUGGGUUUCUAUUGCGGCCUCAUCUUUCCGAAAUGCACAGGUCGAAUUCCUGUGUUUCCUUGCAGAGAUUUGUGUGUUGAUGUAUGGAAAGGAUGCGGUGAGGAACCUACUCUAGGAUUGUGUAACCAUUUGGUGGAAGAUAAACCACAUUGUUUCCGCCCUCGACCAACAUCAGCUUGAAAUGUAAUUUCUGCUCAGCGAUCUCGUCUGCAUAAAAUAUGAAUUAUCAGAUGGUGACAAUAUUAUAGUCCAGUCUCGCCAGGAAUGAAUUUAAAAAAUGUUUAUGCAUCGAUGUCCUUUCAAAAUAAAGCAUAUGAAGUUCUGAGAAGAUGUCCAUGGUAGAAGAACGUUGAAGUGGGUGUUUUACCGCAUGUGAUUUGGCACCUAACAGUAAUGAGUUCAAGUUCCACAGAAGUCGACUUUGUUUUCAUUUCACUUUGAGAUGGAUGAGGAUCGAUAAAUUAGUACCAGAUGUUUACACUGGACAUCAGGAGCAUUAACCCCACCACGAAAGGAGAGUCUGUAAAGUUCAACAAAGCUAUUCCUUCUUGAAAUAUAUUAUAUAUAAAAAAAAAAGAACACACAAAAUUGUUGGCAAAUGGCACAUGACAUUUAGUUGAAUAAAGAUGAAGUUCAGAACUUAAUUUGAAAGAAUUCAGUAUGAACUCUCUGCAUAACCCCAACACCACCAAAAUACUCUAUACUGCAUCCCCACCCUUUUUCUUUUGCUAUGAGAUAAAAUAGAAUGAAAUAAAAUUGAAUAGAUCAAAAUAUAAUAA
RNAcentral lists this unclassified non-coding RNA (1815 nucleotides) under Octopus sinensis (East Asian common octopus). Its description in RNAcentral is "uncharacterized LOC118763056, transcript variant X2". Lineage: Eukaryota; Metazoa; Mollusca; Cephalopoda; Octopoda; Octopodidae. The record is from RNAcentral.